This 207-nucleotide ribosomal RNA is filed under the name uncultured bacterium. RNAcentral's name for it is "partial 16S ribosomal RNA". It matches the Rfam family "Bacterial small subunit ribosomal RNA", at positions 568 to 774 of the family's 1533-position model. The record is from RNAcentral.
CGCGUAGGCGGACUAUUAAGUCAGGGGUGAAAUCCCGGGGCUCAACCCCGGAACUGCCUUUGAUACUGGUAGUCUUGAGUUCGAGAGAGGUGAGUGGAAUUCCGAGUGUAGAGGUGAAACUCGUAGAUAUUCGGAGGAACACCAGUGGCGAAGGCGGCUCACUGGCUCGAUACUGACGCUGAGGUGCGAAAGUGUGGGGAGCAAACA